Molecule: ribosomal RNA, 96 nt
Filed under: uncultured bacterium
Lineage: Bacteria
Description: partial 16S ribosomal RNA
Rfam family: Bacterial small subunit ribosomal RNA
Source: RNAcentral
CACACCGCCCGUCACACCAUGGGAGUUUGUUGCACCAGAAGCAGGUAGCUUAACCUCGGAGGGGCGCUUGCCACGGUGUGGCCGAUGACUGGGGUG